This 288-nucleotide long non-coding RNA is filed under the name Lathyrus oleraceus (garden pea). RNAcentral describes it as "Pisum sativum (pea) long non-coding RNA (PSAT_LNC033743)". The record is from RNAcentral. Lineage: Eukaryota; Viridiplantae; Streptophyta; Magnoliopsida; Fabales; Fabaceae.
UUCCUCACAAUUUGUGGUUUUAAGUCCUAGAUGAAACAUUCAUUCAAUUAUGUUGCAAAAAGAACAAUAUUCAAUUACAAAAAGAGUAAAGUUCUUAAUGCAUUCUAAAAUUCUAAUCGAAGGUAACCAUGUACCUUAGCAUUAUUCACUUGUUUAUUUUUAUCAUUGCCAUCCAAGCUCGGAUGCACCUUCAUUGGAUACUUCUUUGAGGAGCAACCAAUCUAGAAGGUUUGACACUCAAUCAACCAAAAAUUUAUUAAACAAAAAGAAAUUUAAACCAAACACACA